UACAGAGACUGCAAGCGUUAUUCGGAUUCACUGGGCGUAAAGGGUGCGCAGGCGGCCGUGUGUGUGAGGCGUGAAAGCCCGGGGCUCAACCCCGGAAUUGCACCUCAAACUACAUGGCUAGAGCAUUGGAGAGGGAAGCGGAAUUCACGGUGUAGCAGUGAAAUGCGUAGAGAUCGUAAGGAAGACCAGUGGCGAAGGCGGGUCUCUGGACAGUUCCUGACACUGAGGCACGAAGGCCAGGGGAGCAAACGGG
Molecule: ribosomal RNA, 253 nt
Filed under: uncultured bacterium
Lineage: Bacteria
Description: partial 16S ribosomal RNA
Rfam family: Bacterial small subunit ribosomal RNA
Source: RNAcentral